RNAcentral lists this long non-coding RNA (294 nucleotides) under Struthio camelus australis. RNAcentral describes it as "lncRNA (ENSSCUG00000009693.1)". The record is from RNAcentral. Lineage: Eukaryota; Metazoa; Chordata; Aves; Struthioniformes; Struthionidae.
CCAGAGUUGACUGUAGGGUAGUAGUUCCGUGGCUGUUUUGAUGAACUGUGAUUAAAAAUGCAAAGGUCCUCUUCCCAGUAGGUGGGAAGGAGUCCAGUGAAACCCUGUGACCUGGAAGAAGUGAGGAUUGGAAGAUACCAUCUGUAUGGGGCAUUGCUUCAGACCAGAAGAGUGCUUGUCUAAGGUGCCUUCCCCUGGUUUGGGGGACUCUUUGGAGACAGCGUAUUUUCCAGUGCCUGAGGCCAAGCCUUUUAUUUUGCUCCAGUGGUGGGCGAGGGAGGAAGUCUUUUUCCA